ACAAAUAUAUAUAAAAUAUAAUAUCUUAUAGAAUGGAAAAAAGAAAAGAAAACAUAAAAUGCUGAAAAACGAGGCACACGUGGUUCGAAUUAGGGACCUGGUGGUUAGGCUUUACCACUCCACCAAGUUCUCUUAUUUGUUAUUCACUUGAAACUAUGAAUAUAUAUAAUAUAAUAGUGCGCUAAAACCUUAAAAAACAAUACAAAAUUAAUAAAAACAGUAACAUCAUAUUUCCUUCACAAACAUGUUCAUCUUUUAUGAACUAUCAUUACACAACAGCUGCAGACACACCAAAAAUGUAAACUACAAACAUCAAACACCAAAGCCAAAUAUGAUGCAUCUCAAACUAAAACAAACAU
This 359-nucleotide long non-coding RNA is filed under the name Lathyrus oleraceus (garden pea). RNAcentral's name for it is "Pisum sativum (pea) long non-coding RNA (PSAT_LNC000422)". Lineage: Eukaryota; Viridiplantae; Streptophyta; Magnoliopsida; Fabales; Fabaceae. The record is from RNAcentral.